CUGGGCGUAAAGCGCACGCAGGCGGUCUGUCAAGUCGGAUGUGAAAUCCCCGGGCUCAACCUGGGAACUGCAUUCGAAACUGGCAGGCUAGAGUCUUGUAGAGGGGGGUAGAAUUCCAGGUGUAGCGGUGAAAUGCGUAGAGAUCUGGAGGAAUACCGGUGGCGAAGGCGGCCCCCUGGACAAAGACUGACGCUCAGGUGCGAAAGCGUGGGGAGCAAACAGGAUUAGAUACCCUGGUAGUCAAGGGCGAAUUCGC
Molecule: ribosomal RNA, 256 nt
Filed under: uncultured Enterobacterales bacterium
Lineage: Bacteria; Pseudomonadati; Pseudomonadota; Gammaproteobacteria; Enterobacterales
Description: partial 16S ribosomal RNA
Rfam family: Bacterial small subunit ribosomal RNA
Source: RNAcentral